AAACUUGAGAGUUUGAUCAUGGCUCAGAACGUACGCUGGCGGCACGCCUAACACAUGCAAGUCGAACGAAGUAGCAAUACUUAGUGGCAGACGGGUGAGUAACAUGUAGGUAUCUGCCCUUUGGCCUGGAAUAACACGAGGAAACUUGUGCUAAUACCGGAUAAGUCUUUACAGAGAAAGCUUUAUGCACCAUUGGAUGAGCCUGCACUUGAUUAGUUUGUUGGUGGGGUAAUGGCCUACCAAGACUUUGAUCAAUAGCUGAUUUGAGAGGAUGAUCAGCCACAUUGGGACUGAGACACGGCCCAAACUCCUACGGGAGGCAGCAGUGGGGAAUCUUGCACAAUGGAGGAAACUCUGAUGCAGCGAUGCCGCGUGAGUGAAGAAGGCCUUUGGGUUGUAAAGCUCUUUCGUCGGGGAAGAAAAUGACUGUACCCGAAUAAGAAGGUCCGGCUAACUUCGUGCCAGCAGCCGCGGUAAUACGAAGGGACCUAGCGUAGUUCGGAAUUACUGGGCUUAAAGAGUUCGUAGGUGGUUGAAAAAGUUGGUGGUGAAAUCCCAGAGCUUAACUCUGGAACUGCCAUCAAAACUUUUCAGCUAGAGUUUGAUAGAGGAAAGCAGAAUUUCUAGUGUAGAGGUGAAAUUCGUAGAUAUUAGAAAGAAUACCGAUUGCGAAGGCAGCUUUCUGGAUCAUUACUGACACUGAGGAACGAAAGCAUGGGUAGCGAAGAGGAUUAGAUACCCUCGUAGUCCAUGCCGUAAACGAUGUGUGUUAGACGUUGGAAAUUUAUUUUUCAGUGUCGCAGCGAAAGCGAUAAACACACCGCCUGGGGAGUACGACCGCAAGGUUAAAACUCAAAUGAAUUGACGGGGACCCGCACAAGUAGUGGAGCAUGUGGUUUAAUUCGAAGAUACGCGCAGAACCUUACCAACACUUGACAUGUUCGUCGCGACUUUAAGAGAUUAAAGUUUUCGGUUCGGCCGGACGAAACACAGGUGCUGCAUGGCUGUCGUCAGCUCGUGUCGUGAGAUGUUGGGUUAAGUCCCGCAACGAGCGCAACCCUCACUUUUAGUUGCCAUCAUUAAGUUGGGCACUCUGAAAGAACUGCCAGUGAUAAGCUGGAGGAAGGUGGGGAUGACGUCAAGUCCUCAUGGCCCUUACGUGUUGGGCUACACACGUGCUACAAUGGUAUCUACAACAGGAAGCAAGACGGCGACGUUAAGCAAAUCCUUAAAAGAUACCUCAGUUCGGAUUGUACUCUGCAACUCGAGUACAUGAAGCUGGAAUUACUAGUAAUCGUGGAUCAGCGUGCCACGGUGAAUGCGUUCCCGGGUCUUGUACACACCGCCCGUCACACCAUGGGAGUUGGUUCUACCUUAAGGCAAGGUUUAAAACCCUUGACCACGGUAUAGUCAGCGACUGGGGUGAAGUCGUAACAAGGUAGCCGUAGGGGAACCUGCGGCUGGAUUACCUCCUUU
This 1476-nucleotide ribosomal RNA is filed under the name Candidatus Pelagibacter sp. Its description in RNAcentral is "bacterial SSU rRNA". It matches the Rfam family "Bacterial small subunit ribosomal RNA". Lineage: Bacteria; Pseudomonadati; Pseudomonadota; Alphaproteobacteria; Candidatus Pelagibacterales; Candidatus Pelagibacteraceae. The record is from RNAcentral.